GCCGCUUGCCUAGAGCAAGCUCUCUUCUCGCUGCCAAUUCAUCAUUGGUGUUGUCACUCUACGCCAACGUCCGUUCCCUUCCGCUACGGCAUCUCUAGUGCUGCUCAUCAGCACUGCCCCACCUUUCUUCCUCGUUGUAGCUAUUUACCUUCCUCUUCUGCUACAACUUCCUCUUCUGCUACAGCUUCCUCCUCUAUUGCAGUUUCCUCCUUUGCUGUAGUAGCAUCAUUGCAACAUUGCUGUAGAUUUCUUCUCUACUGUCGCAGCCGUCGUAAUCGCAACCACGACCAACGUCGUUGAGAAAAGCGAAGCUUCGCUCUUGCCUUCGGCCAGCGACCAACGUCGCUGAGAAAAGUGAAGCUUCACCCUUCGGCCAGCGACCAACGCCGUUGUAUUUCUAAGAGGCUCCGUGGUCAAUCCUCAUCUUCCUCACCGCGGUAGUCUUCACUAAUCUGUCAACAUUUGGCAGACUUAAGGAGAAUGAAGGGAACGCCUGUGCCAUCAUAGCAACAGCAAUUGCAGCAGCAGCAGUAGUGAUCUACACUUAUCUUACUCACGAAGCCUCUUGCUUUAAACCAUUUUUUGCACCGAUCCAAGAUUGGUAUCCUUGUUAGGAGCACCAUCUUGCGGGGGCAUGAUAGAAGAUAAGAUUUCCCCAACUUGAUAGAGGAUAAGAUUUCCCCAAUUAUAUGAGGAAAUCUCUCUAUUCUGUUUAUUCUGUUGAGGGAAAUCCUUCCUCCUAAUCUGUAUAAAUAGGAGAGGGAACAUGUUAAUAGAUUUAAGCUAAAGCUAUUUCAUUUCUACAAUAAAGCUUCUUCAAUUAUUGUUCUUAUCUUCUAUUAUUUCUAUCAUGGUAUCAGAGCCGCUUGCCUAGAGCAAGCUCUCUUCUCGCUGCCAAUUCAUCAUUGGUGUUGCCACUCUACGCCAACGUCCGUUCCCUUCCGCUACGGCAUCUCUAGUGCUGCUCAUCAGCACUGCCCCACCUUUCUUCCUCGUUGUAGCUAUUUACCUUCCUCUUCUGCUACAACUUCCUCUUCUGCUACAGCUUCCUCCUCUGUUGCAGUUUCCUCCUUUGCUGUAGUAGCAUCAUUGCAACAUUGCUGUAGAUUUCUUCUCUACUGUCGCAGCCGUCGUAAUCGCAACCACGACCAACGUCGUUGAGAAAAGCGAAGCUUCGCUCUUGCCUUCAGCCAGCGACCAACGUUGCUGAGAAAAGUGAAGCUUCACCCUUCGGCCAGCGACCAACGCCGUUGUAUUUCUAAGAGGCUCCGUGGUCAAUCCUCAUCUUCCUCACCGCGGUAGUCUUCACUAAUCUAUCAACAUUUGGCAGACUUAAGAAGAAUGAAGGGAACGCCUGUGCCAUCAUAGCAACAGCAAUUGCAGCAGCAGCAGCAGCAAUCUACACUUAUCUUACUCACGAAGCCUCUUGCUUUAAACCAUUUUUUGCACCGAUCCAAGAUUGGUAUCCUUGUUAGGAGCACCAUCUUGCGGGGGCAUGAUAGAAGAUAAGAUUUCCCCAACUUGAUAGAGGAUAAGAUUUCCCCAAUUAUAUGAGGAAAUCUCUCUAUUCUGUUUAUUCUGUUGAGGGAAAUCCUUCCUCCUAAUCUGUAUAAAUAGGAGAGGGAACAUGUUAAUAGAUUUAAGCUAAAGCUAUUUCAUUUCUAUAAUAAAGCUUCUUCAAUUAUUGUUCUUAUCUUCUAUUAUUUCUAUCAUGGUAUCAGAGCCGCUUGCCUAGAGCAAGCUCUCUUCUCGCUGCCAAUUCAUCAUUGGUGUUGCCACUCUACGCCAACGUCCGUUCCCUUCCGCUACGACAUCUCUAGUGCUGCUCAUCAGCACUGCCCCACCUUUCUUCCUCGUUGUAGCUAUUUUCCUUCCUCUUCUGCUACAACUUCCUCUUCUGCUACAGCUUCCUCCUCUGUUGCAGUUUCCUCCUUUGCUGUAGUAGCAUCAUUGCAACAUUACUGUAGAAUUCUUCUCUACUGUCGCAGCCGUCGUAAUCGCAACCACGACCAACGUCGUUGAGAAAAGCGAAGCUUCGCUCUUGCCUUCGGCCAGCGACCAACGUCGCUGAGAAAAGUGAAGCUUCACCCUUCGGCCAGCGACCAACGCCGUUGUAUUUCUAAGAGGCUCCGUGGUCAAUCCUCAUCUUCCUCACCGCGGUAGUCUUCACUAAUCUGUCAACAUUUGGCAGACUUAAGGAGAAUGAAGGGAACGCCUAUGCCAUCAUAGCAACAGCAAUUGCAGCAGCAGCAGCAGCGAUCUACACUUAUCUUACUCA
Molecule: long non-coding RNA, 2278 nt
Filed under: Musa acuminata (dwarf banana)
Lineage: Eukaryota; Viridiplantae; Streptophyta; Magnoliopsida; Zingiberales; Musaceae
Description: long non-coding RNA (MACU_LNC003249)
Source: RNAcentral